GACAGAGGUGCCGAGCGUUAGGCGGAAUCACUGGGCUUAAAGCGUGUGUAGGCGGACGGGUAAGUACCUUGUGAAAUCCCACGGCUCAACCGUGGAACUGCUGGGUAUACUGCCUGUCUUGAGUCAUCUAGGGGCGAGCGGAACAAAUGGUGGAGCGGUGAAAUGCGUAGAUAUCAAGAGGAACACCUGAGGUGAAGACGGGUUGCUGGGCUGACACUGACGCUGAGGCGCGAAAGCUAGGGUAGCAAACGGG
RNAcentral lists this ribosomal RNA (253 nucleotides) under uncultured bacterium. Its description in RNAcentral is "partial 16S ribosomal RNA". It matches the Rfam family "Bacterial small subunit ribosomal RNA", at positions 524 to 776 of the family's 1533-position model. The record is from RNAcentral.